CAGCAGCCGCGGGAAUACAGAGGGUGCGAGCGUUAAUCGGAUUUACUGGGCGUAAAGCGUGCGUAGGCGGCUUUUUAAGUCGGAUGUGAAAUCCCUGAGCUUAACUUAGGAAUUGCAUUCGAUACUGGGAAGCUAGAGUAUGGGAGAGGAUGGUAGAAUUCCAGGUGUAGCGGUGAAAUGCGUAGAGAUCUGGAGGAAUACCGAUGGCGAAGGCAGCCAUCUGGCCUAAUACUGACGCUGAGGUACGAAAGCAUGGGGAGCAAACAGGAUUAGAUACCCCAGUAGUCCAUGUCUCUUAUAU
Molecule: ribosomal RNA, 301 nt
Filed under: uncultured bacterium
Lineage: Bacteria
Description: partial 16S ribosomal RNA
Rfam family: Bacterial small subunit ribosomal RNA
Source: RNAcentral